AACAAACUCCAGGUUGGUGUUAGGUUGCAUCGGCAGCAGGGACUAAGCUGCUGUGAGUUGUGUCGCUGUAAGAUCUCUGGCUGUCAGGCCUCUGCCCCUACCUGUUACCACCAAUCACAGAGCCGAUUGAUCCGAUCGAUCCAAUCUAGCAUCGCGUGCACGGCCUAGCGGGGUCAAACGAAGCGCCAAUGUAGGACAAGGCGGGCUAAAAAAACUUGCUUUGACCAGAGGCUUUUCUUCAACAAGAUGAACAAACUUGUGAUCAGAAAUCCAAAAACACCAAGAGAAACUCAGUAACGACAGCAACGAAGAAAACGACAAAGAAGGGACGGACUUUUCAAGCUAGCUGGAAAAUAACAUUUCCUUUACUGGCCUACGACACCACAAAAACAAGCCUCCCACCUUCGUCCUCCUCCUCUUCCUCCAUCUUUAGGACGGCUCAGUGGACAGUUGCCUCAAUGACGGGUCCUCUCAGACAUCUCUGGAUGACCUCUGACCUCAAAAGGCGAGAAGGCAGACCUCAACGUCACCUGUUUCCUGACCUCGGGAAUAUUGUGGCUGAGAUUACACAGGACACAGGACCCACCUUGCUGUCGCCAUCUUGGCAGUGCAUGACUCCACCAAACUCCAAAAUGGGCAAGGAGCACAAUGGCUGACACGAGGUGAAAAUCCCCUUUUGGCAUCCUCCUCCCCUGUUUGUCCUGCUGUAUAUUUGAGGGAGAUAACAGUGACUUUCCAUUGUUGUGAGAGUCACUAAUAAAUGAUGCAUCAGACAGUCACCUGCUUGACUUCCCACGUUUCCUUUGUGUGGAUUUGACACAGCGUGUUGUUCAGACUUCCUGCAAGGCACCUAAAAGCAUUUUGCCAUUUCCUCUCCUGCUACAUGAACCAGUUUCCCCCGCUCCCUCAAUCCCAACAAGAUCACACAAAAUCCCUGCCGGAUGCUGAGCAGCAGGACUUCACUUCUGCUGCAUGCUAUGAUGGCUAUUUCAGUGUGUGACCCCACCUGACAAAGGCCGCUGUCGAACACAUCCUACUAUGUUUAAGUGGAAGAAGCUGUCACUGCUUUGGUACUUGCUCUGUUGUCUUGAGUUAAUGGGAUAAAAAAAUAUUUGCAAGUAUGGCCUCUCUUGUUUUCCACAGACAUUACACAGGUUGUAAACAAGCCGACAGUUUAAUGAUCAAUGAGAAAAGGUUCUUUACCUCUGAGAAUCUGGUCCUAGCAGGUGUAUUGGUCCAGUACUAAUGUACCUUUCUCAAGUACACAGCUAUGGAUGGUUUCUAUUGUGAUUCAAGGAGGAAAAACUAUAAUAAAGUAAUUUAGUAAUAUAGAAUAUAGAUGUAGGUGGAUCAAACAUUGCUAAUCUUGAACCAGGCCCUGGUUAUUUCCUCUGGCGGCUGCCCUUCAGUGAAACCCUUGGUGGGAUGGUCCAGAAGAAUCUCUACUGAGAAACAACUCUGACACCUCUUCUUUACCUGGUGUCCUUGUACUUAUUAAACAGAUGUAGUUCUCAGUACUUACACCAAGAUUAAACUUAAACUGCACUGAAGCUUUAGUGAUAUUCCUUACUUGUAAGGCGCUUUGGAUUAAAAGCAUCUGACAAAUGAGUCAAUGUAAUGUAAAUGUAAUCUUUAAUGUUUAAUGAGGCACCCAGUAAUUAUUAAGCCUUUUCAUUAAGAAUAAAGUGUAUGGGCUGUAAUAUAAUGUGUGGCUGUUCUCUCCUUUUUCCUCUUUAAUUAUUCAGUAACAAAACAAACAGAUACAGAUAUUGGCUUUGAGUUACGGCCCAAGUGCACAGAGCCGUAACUCAACCCUUAGUACAG
Seriola aureovittata is the source of this 1824-nucleotide long non-coding RNA. RefSeq lists it as uncharacterized. The transcript has 4 exons. Lineage: Eukaryota; Metazoa; Chordata; Actinopteri; Carangiformes; Carangidae. The record is from RefSeq and is a predicted model, not a curated record.